This 465-nucleotide ribosomal RNA is filed under the name uncultured bacterium. Its description in RNAcentral is "bacterial SSU rRNA". It matches the Rfam family "Bacterial small subunit ribosomal RNA", at positions 198 to 644 of the family's 1533-position model. The record is from RNAcentral.
GGAGGAAAGUAGGGGAUCGCAAGACCUUGCGCUAAAGGAGCGGCUGAUGUCUGAUUAGCUAGUUGGUGAGGUAAGGGCUCACCGAGGCAACGAUCAGUAGUUGGUCUGAGAGGACGGCCAACCACACUGGGACUGAGACACGGCCCAGACUCCUACGGGAGGCAGCAGUGGGGAAUUUUGGACAAUGGGCGAAAGCCUGAUCCAGCCAUGCCGCGUGAGUGAAGAAGGCCUUCGGGUUGUAAAGCUCUUUUAGUCGGAAAGAAAAAAUCAUAAUAAAUAGUUAUGAUUCAUGACGGUACCGGCAGAAAAAGCACCGGCUAACUACGUGCCAGCAGCCGCGGUAAUACGUAGGGUGCGAGCGUUAAUCGGAAUUACUGGGCGUAAAGGGUGCGCAGGCGGUUUUGUAAGUCAGGUGUGAAAUCCCCGGGCUUAACCUGGGAAUUGCGUUUGAAACUACAAAGCUAG